AUGGAUUCAAGAGAUGC
Molecule: non-coding RNA, 17 nt
Filed under: Mus musculus (house mouse)
Lineage: Eukaryota; Metazoa; Chordata; Mammalia; Rodentia; Muridae
Source: RNAcentral